CUUCCCUUGAGUUUCGUGUCUUCUCCCUAACUUUUCUGCUAAACUAAAAGUUUUUCAGGACAACUUGUUUUAGAAAAUUCUGAAGAUUUCACAAGGUCUUCAAAUUUAUGAAUUUCCUGAAGCCACAGAGCCCUUAUAAUAAUCUCCUUACAUACCUUAUAUUUAGGAGAUUCAGUUUUUGUCGCUUUAUUUUGAAAUAAUUUUAGACCUACAGAGGAGUUUCAUGGAGGAUAUAGAGCUCCCACCCCCACUCCCACCCCACCCCUGCCCACUCCCAGAUCAUUUAUGAAACCCGAGAAAUGAACAUUAGUACUCACUGGAAACUUAAACUGCAGUCUGUAUUCAGAUUCCCUGUUUUUCUGUAGUGAUUUUUGUUGCAGGAACAGAUCUAAUCUUCACAACUGUUUAUUUUCCCACAUUUUAAUUAAAUUCUGAAUGUCAUCAAAUUCACCCAACACUGAUUUUAGAAACACAUUUCCAUAAUGAGGCCAUCCAGGACUGUGUCACACGUGUUCCCACAUCCCGACUGUCCUCCCCAUGUCCUGUUCGCACAGAGAGGUCACCAGAUCAGGCAGGAGUGCCGGGCACACCAUGAAGUGCCUCACCCGACAUCGUCAAGUUCGGCAGAAAGGAAAGCAUAUGCAUUUUUUAAAACAACCUGUUGUGGAAAAGGAGUUUAUGUUCUUUGUUAUAUCCGUGUCAGACUGUGCUCAGAGUUAGGUGCAGGUCACGUGGCUUGUGACUGGCGCUGAAAUGCCUCCCACGUGUGCAGACCACUCGUUUCACCCGACCAUGGGGAAUUCAUCCACACUGUGCCUGGGGCCAAGGAAGCAGAGUCAGCAGACACAUACUGUGACAAGGGACACACCAGCUAACAAAAGCUGCCACCUUGGAUCACUGAAGCCCAGGACUGGCCACUCCAUCAGGCUCCCCAUCAGACAUGACCCUGGUCAGGGGAGCCUGCAGGCCCGAUCCCGUCCAGGGCUGAGCCCGUGCUGUCCCCAUCCCUGUCUCUAUCUUCACGCAGAGACACAGCCCUCCCCUGUUCUGUUUCACACUGAAGCACCUUGACUGGCAAAGGACACGUCAGAAGUUUACAAGCUAAAGAGGGAAAAGAAGGAAGAAUUGUGUGAAUAAUUUCACCCUCUUAUUGUCGUGUAGCAUGGUCGUUGGCUGAAAAAUGGAUUACUGGACUGACAAUCUGGAGCAUUUCAAUGAAUGUAAUAAAGAAUUCCCAGGACCUGUGAAAAUAUGUGUGGUGAUCAAAUGUGGCAGUGAAGCAAAAAUCCAACUUUGGAAAAAGUAAAAACAAGUGAUUCAGUGAUAUGUUUUGUCAAUGUUAAUUCUGAGCCCUAAAUAAAGUUAACGAGAACAAAUGGA
Odocoileus virginianus texanus is the source of this 1380-nucleotide non-coding RNA. The record is from RefSeq and is a predicted model, not a curated record. NCBI's taxonomy places the organism in Eukaryota, Metazoa, Chordata, Mammalia, Artiodactyla, Cervidae.